RNAcentral lists this ribosomal RNA (497 nucleotides) under uncultured bacterium. RNAcentral describes it as "partial 16S ribosomal RNA". It matches the Rfam family "Bacterial small subunit ribosomal RNA", at positions 28 to 507 of the family's 1533-position model. The record is from RNAcentral.
GAUGAACGCUGGCGGCGUGCCUAAUACAUGCAAGUCGAGCGAACGGACGAGAAGCUUGCUUCUCUGAUGUUAGCGGCGGACGGGUGAGUAACACGUGGAUAACCUACCUAUAAGGCUGGGAUAACUUCGGGAAACCGGAGCUAAUACCGGAUAAUAUUUUGAACCGCAUGGUUCAAAAGUGAAAGACGGUCUUGCUGUCACUUAUAGAUGGAUCCGCGCUGCAUUAGCUAGUUGGUAAGGUAACGGCUUACCAAGGCAACGAUGCAUAGCCGACCUGAGAGGACGAUCAGCCACACUGGAACUGAGACACGGUCCAGACUCCUACGGGAGGCAGCAGUAGGGAAUCUUCCGCAAUGGGCGAAAGCCUGACGGAGCAACGCCGCGUGAGUGAUGAAGGUCUUCGGAUCGUAAAACUCUGUUAUUAGGGAAGAACAUAUGUGUAAGUAACUGUGCACAUCUUGACGGUACCUAAUCAGAAAGCAACGGCUAACUACGUG